This 484-nucleotide ribosomal RNA is filed under the name Borboresthes sp. UPOLZL0068. RNAcentral describes it as "partial 16S ribosomal RNA". It matches the Rfam family "Bacterial large subunit ribosomal RNA", at positions 1844 to 2600 of the family's 2925-position model. Lineage: Eukaryota; Metazoa; Arthropoda; Insecta; Coleoptera; Tenebrionidae. The record is from RNAcentral.
UUUAAGGUCUGACCUGCCCAAUGAUAAUUUAAUGGCCGCAGUAUUUUGACUGUGCAAAGGUAGCAUAAUCAUUAGUUUCUUUAUUGGAAGCUGGAAUGAAUGGUUUGAUGAGAAAUUAGCUGUCUCUUAAUUAUUUUUAGAACUUUAUUUUUUAGUUAAAAAGCUUAAAUUUUAUAGAAAGACGAGAAGACCCUAUAGAGUUUUAUUUUGCUUUAAUUUUUUAUUUAUGGUUGUUUUUUAAUUUGAUCAAAAUUUUGUUGGGGUGAUAAAUAAAUAUAUUUAACUUUAUUUUAUUAGAACAAUUAUUUUUGAGUGUUUGAUCCUUUAUUUUGGAUUUUAAGAUUAAAUUACCUUAGGGAUAACAGCGUAAUUUUUUCUGAAAGCUCUUAUUGAAGAAAAAGUUUGCGACCUCGAUGUUGGAUUAAAAUUAAUUAUUGGUGUAGCAGCUGAUUGAUUAAGUCUGUUCGACUUUUAAAAUUUUACA